AGUCUACUAUCAGGGUAGUGACCAUGCUGGAGGUAUGUUACUCUACAGUCUACUAUCAGGGUAGUGACCAUGCUGGAGGUGUGUUACUCUACAGUCUACUAUCAGGGUAGUGACCAUGCUGGAGGUAUGUUACUCUACAGUCUACUAUCAGGGAGCCAGGCUGCUCAUGCUGGAGGUAUGUUACUCUACAGUCUACUAUCAGGGUAGUGACCAUGCUGGAGGUAUGUUACUCUACAGUCUACUAUCAGGGAGCCAGGCUGCUCAUGCUGGAGGUAUGUUACUCUACAGUCUACUAUCAGGGUAGUGACCAUGCUGGAGGUAUGUUACUCUACAGUCUACUAUCAGGGUAGUGACCAUGCUGGAGGUGUGUUACUCUACAGUCUACUAUCAGGGAGCCAGGCUGCUCAUGCUGGAGGUAUGUUACUCUACAGUCUACUAUCAGGGAGCCAGGCUGCUCAUGCUGGAGGUAUGUUACUCUACAGUCUACUAUCAGGGAGCCAGGCUGCUCAUGCUGGAGGUAUGUUACUCUACAGUCUACUAUCAGGGAGCCAGGCUGCUCAUGCUGGAGGUAUGUUACUCUACAGUCUACUAUCAGGGAGCCAGGCUGCUCAUGCUGGAGGUAUGUUACUCUACAGUCUACUAUCAGGGAGCCAGGCUGCUCAUGCUGGAGGUAUGUUACUCUACAGUCUACUAUCAGGGAGCCAGGCUGCUCAUGCUGGAGGUAUGUUACUCUACAGUCUACUAUCAGGGAGCCAGGCUGCUCAUGCUGGAGGUAUGUUACUCUACAGUCUACUAUCAGGGAGCCAGGCUGCUCAUGCUCCUCUAACCUGUGAGAACAUCCUGAAACCCCUACAGAUGAUCCGGUGAGCAUCUACACUGUCUAGUUCACUAUAUAUCUAUAGCGAUCUUUCUGUUGGUCUGUGUGUCGGUUGUUCGGUCAGUCCGUCACUGUGUGUCUGCCUGUCUAUAUUCAUUCAUAGUCUGUGUGUCUGCUUGUCUAUAUUCAUUCAUAGUCUGUCUGCCUGUCGC
Long non-coding RNA from Oncorhynchus keta (chum salmon), 1029 nucleotides. RefSeq lists it as uncharacterized. The transcript is spliced from 4 exons. NCBI's taxonomy places the organism in Eukaryota, Metazoa, Chordata, Actinopteri, Salmoniformes, Salmonidae. The record is from RefSeq and is a predicted model, not a curated record.